ACGAAGCUGCAGUGGUGGGAGUAGGAAGAUGUCGGGCGAGGACGAGCAGCAGGAGCAAACUAUCGCCGAAGACCUGGUCGUGACCAAGUAUAAGAUGGGGGGCGACAUCGCCAACCGGGUCCUUCGAGCUUUGGUGGAAGCAUCCAGCUCAGGUGUGUCAGUAUUGAGCCUGUGUGAGAAAGGUGAUGCCAUGAUUGUGGAAGAGACAGGAAAAAUCUUCAAGGAAGGAAAGGAAAUGAAGAAAGGUAUUGCCUUUCCAACCAGCAUCUCAGUAAAUAACUGUGUGUGCCACUUCUCCCCUUUGAAGAGUGACCAGGAUUAUAUUCUCAAGGAAGGUGACUUGGUAAAAAUUGACCUUGGGGUUCAUGUGGAUGGCUUCAUUGCUAAUGUGGCUCACACUUUUGUCAUUGGUGUGCCCCAGGGGACUCAAGUAACAGGGAGGAAAGCAGAUGUCAUUAAGGCAGCUCACCUAUGUGCUGAAGCUGCCCUACGCUUAGUCAAACCUGGAAACAAGAACACACAAGUGACAGAAGCCUGGAACAAAGUUGCCCACUCAUUUAAUUGCACACCAAUAGAAGGUAUGCUGUCACAUCAGUUGAAGCAGCACGUCAUCGACGGAGAGAAAACCAUCAUCCAGAAUCCCACAGACCAGCAGAAGAAGGACCAUGAAAAGGCUGAAUUUGAGGUACAUGAA
Octodon degus (degu) is the source of this 694-nucleotide RNA transcript. It is a transcript of the gene named proliferation-associated protein 2G4 pseudogene, with no coding region annotated. The record is from RefSeq and is a predicted model, not a curated record. Lineage: Eukaryota; Metazoa; Chordata; Mammalia; Rodentia; Octodontidae. The transcript has a single exon.